RNAcentral lists this ribosomal RNA (243 nucleotides) under uncultured bacterium. RNAcentral describes it as "partial 16S ribosomal RNA". It matches the Rfam family "Bacterial small subunit ribosomal RNA", at positions 338 to 578 of the family's 1533-position model. The record is from RNAcentral.
CCUACGGGGGGCAGCAGUGAGGAAUAUUGGUCAAUGGCCGCAAGCCUGAACCAGCCAAGUCGCGUGAGGGAAGACUGUCCUAUGGAUUGUAAACCUCUUUUAUGGGGGGGCAAAGGAGUCCACGUGUGGCUGUCCGCAGGUACCGCAUGAAUAAGCACCGGCUAAUUCCGUGCCAGCAGCCGCGGUAAUACGGAAGGUGCGGGCGUUAUCCGGAUUUAUUGGGUUUAAAGGGAGCGCAGGCGG